AUAAAAGAUACACAAAUGAUAGAGGUAAAGAGGUAAAAAUGCAUUAUAAAGGAAAAGUGUGUGUGAAAUUCAUGUCAUAAAUGCAAUAUCUGCAGUGGAUAUUGCAGUUAUCAUGUUGAGUUCAAAACUUUUUGUGUUCUAAGACUUUUGCAAACUCAAAGAGAGUUCACUGUU
Pocillopora damicornis (cauliflower coral) is the source of this 174-nucleotide long non-coding RNA. NCBI's taxonomy places the organism in Eukaryota, Metazoa, Cnidaria, Anthozoa, Scleractinia, Pocilloporidae. The record is from RefSeq and is a predicted model, not a curated record.